This 681-nucleotide ribosomal RNA is filed under the name uncultured euryarchaeote. RNAcentral describes it as "bacterial SSU rRNA". It matches the Rfam family "Archaeal small subunit ribosomal RNA", at positions 21 to 696 of the family's 1478-position model. Lineage: Archaea; Methanobacteriati; Methanobacteriota. The record is from RNAcentral.
GGUCACUGCUAUGGGAAUUCGACUAAGCCAUGCAAGUUGAGGGCACCUUUUUAGGAGACCCAGCGAACUGCUCAGCAACACGUGGAUAAUCUGCCCACAGGACGGGGAUAAUCCUGGGAAACUGGGAAUAAUACCCGAUAGGUCAUUGGUACUGGAAUGUCCUUUGACCUAAAUGCUUUUUCUACGCCUGUGGAUGAGUCUGCGGCCGAUUAGGCUGUUGUUGGGAUAACGGCCCAACAAACCUACGAUCGGUACGGGUCGUGAGAGCGAUCGCCCGGAGAUGGGAUCUGAGAUAUGAUCCUAGGCCCUACGGGGUGCAGCAGGCGCGAAAACUUUACAAUGUGGGAAACCAUGAUAAGGGAAUUCCCAGUGUUCCUACAUAGUAGGAACUGUUUAAGUGUGUAAAAAGCACUUUAUAGAAAGGGCCGGGUAAGACCGGUGCCCAGCCGCCGCGGUAAUACCGGUGGCUCGAGUGGUGGCCGCUAUUAUUGGGUCUAAAGGGUCCGUAGCCGGCUUGAUAAGUUACCUGGGAAAUCCGGUGGCCUAACCAUCGGGCGGCCGGGUAAUACUAUCAGGCUUGGGACUAGGAGAGACCAGAGGUACUCAUGAGGUAGGAGUGAAAUCCUGUAAUCUUAUGAGGACCACCAGUGGCGAAGGCGUCUGGUUAGAAUAGGUCCGACG